AGUGGGGAAUUUUGGACAAUGGGGGAAACCCUGAUCCAGCCAUUCCGCGUGUGCGAUGAAGGCCUUCGGGUUGUAAAGCACUUUUGGCAGGAAAGAAAUCGCACAAAUUAAUACUUUGUGUGGAUGACGGUACCUGCAGAAUAAGCACCGGCUAACUACGUGCCAGCAGCCGCGGUAAUACGUAGGGUGCAAGCGUUAAUCGGAAUUACUGGGCGUAAAGCGUGCGCAGGCGGUUCGGAAAGAGAGGUGUGAAAUCCCAGGGCUUAACCUUGGAACUGCACUUUUAACUCCCGAGCUAGAGUAUGUCAGAGGGGGGUGGAAUUCCGCGUGUAGCAGUGAAAUGCGUAGAUAUGCGGAGGAACACCGAUGGCGAAGGCAGCCCCCUGGGAUAAUACUGACGCUCAUGCACGAAAGCGUGGGGAGCAAACAGGAUUAGAUACCC
This 442-nucleotide ribosomal RNA is filed under the name beta proteobacterium SCGC AAA027-K18. RNAcentral describes it as "bacterial SSU rRNA". It matches the Rfam family "Bacterial small subunit ribosomal RNA", at positions 353 to 787 of the family's 1533-position model. The record is from RNAcentral. Lineage: Bacteria; Pseudomonadati; Pseudomonadota; Betaproteobacteria.